Molecule: ribosomal RNA, 494 nt
Filed under: uncultured bacterium
Lineage: Bacteria
Description: partial 16S ribosomal RNA
Rfam family: Bacterial small subunit ribosomal RNA
Source: RNAcentral
GACGAACGCUGGCGGCGUGCUUAACACAUGCAAGUCGAACGGAAAGGCCUGCUUUCCCUUGUGGAUUGCGGGUGCUCGGGUGACGAACGUGUGAGUACCACGUGAGUGAUCUGCCCCCAACUUGGGUAUACGCCUGUGAAACUGGGUCUAAUUUCCGGUAGGACUGCAGGGUGGGUCCUGUUGUGGAAAACGAUUUUCUAGUGGUUGGGGAUGAGCACGCGGCCUAUCAGCUUGUUGGUGGGGUCAUGGCCUACCAAGGCGGCGACGGGUAGCCGGCCUGCGAGGAUGGACGGCGACAUUGGGACUGAGAGACGGCCCAGACUCCUACGGGAGGCAGCAGUGGGGAAUAUUGCACAAUGGGCGGAAGCCUGAUGCAGCGACGACGCGUGGGGGAUGACGGACUUCGGGUUGUAAACUCCUUUCGACCGCGCGGAAGCCACCUGGUUGGAAGGGUGGUGACGGUAGUGGUAGAAGAAGCACCGGCUAACUACGUG